GGGGACGACAGGUUUCGACAGGGAACGGUGGACCCGGAUUGCAAGCCGAGGCGCCAUACCUCGUUAAUCAGUGGCACCAAUGUAACUGGCGAAAAAGAACUCGCCCUCGCGGCCUAACAAGGCCUCGACGUUGACCCUCAUCUCACCCCGAUGGGUGAGGAGUCAGCGACGCAAUGUCGGGGUGCUGCAUCGUUACGCCGGUAGCGACGCCUAAGACAACCGGCGGUGCCGGACGCGAGCCUGCUGGGCGGCGCGCGGCCAGGCGAGAUAAAUGCCCGGCUAAGCUUGUAGUAAAUCCCUGACGCUCUUCCUCUGGACGGGGAGUUCAAUUCUCCCCCGUCUCCACCA
RNAcentral lists this transfer-messenger RNA (348 nucleotides) under Dehalococcoidia. RNAcentral describes it as "WHTK01 sp009377745 Standard tmRNA". It matches the Rfam family "transfer-messenger RNA". From Rfam's summary of the family: Bacterial tmRNA, also known as 10Sa RNA or SsrA, is named for its dual tRNA and mRNA-like properties. Its role is to liberate the mRNA from a stalled ribosome. To accomplish this part of the tmRNA is used as a reading frame that ends in a translation stop signal. Lineage: Bacteria; Bacillati; Chloroflexota. The record is from RNAcentral. RNAcentral also lists the same sequence under 1 other name.